UUCCGGUUGAUCCUGCCGGAGGCCAUUGCUAUCGGAGUUCGAUUUAGCCAUGCUAGUCGCACGGGUUUAGACCCGUGGCGAAAAGCUCAGUAACACGUGGCCAAACUACCCUAUGGAUCAGAAUAACCUCGGGAAACUGAGGACAAUUCUGAAUACCGCUCCUGCACUGGGAUGUGCGGAGCUCCAAACGCUACGGCGCCAUAGGAUGUGGCUGCGGCCGAUUAGGUUGACGGUGGGGUAACGGCCCACCGUGCCCAUAAUCGGUACGGGUUGUGAGAGCAAGAGCCCGGAGACGGUAUCUGAGACAAGAUACCGGGCCCUACGGGGCGCAGCAGGCGCGAAACCUUUACACUGCACGACAGUGCGAUAAGGGAACUCCGAGUGCGAGGGCAUAGAGCCCUCGCUUUUGUACACCGUAAGGUGGUGUUCGAAUAAGGGCUGGGCAAGACCGGUGCCAGCCGCCGCGGUAAUACCGGCAGCCCAAGUGAUGGCCGAUAUUAUUGGGCCUAAAGCGUCCGUAGCUGGCCGGACAAGUCCGUUGGGAAAUCCGCGCGCUUAACGCGCGGGCGUCCAGCGGAAACUGUCCGGCUUGGGGCCGGAAGACCUGAGGGGUACGUCCGGGGUAGGAGUGAAAUCCUGUAAUCUCGGACGGACCGCCUGUGGCGAAAGCGCCUCAGGAAGACGGACCCGACAGUGAGGGACGAAAGCCAGGGUCUCGAACCGGAUUAGAUACCCGGGUAGUCCUGGCUGUAAACGAUGUCCGCUAGGUGUGACGCAGGCUACGGGCCUGCGCUGUGCCGUAGGGAAGCCGUGAAGCGGACCGCCUGGGAAGUACGUCUGCAAGGAUGAAACUUAAAGGAAUUGGCGGGGGAGCACUACAACCGGAGGAGCCUGCGGUUUAAUUGGAUUCAACGCCGG
This 918-nucleotide ribosomal RNA is filed under the name uncultured archaeon. RNAcentral describes it as "bacterial SSU rRNA". It matches the Rfam family "Archaeal small subunit ribosomal RNA", at positions 1 to 921 of the family's 1478-position model. The record is from RNAcentral.